GUGCUCACUUGGGCAGCACAUAUUCUAAAACUGGAAUGAUACAAAGAAGACUAGCUUGGUCCCUGCACAAGGAUGACAUGAUUUAAAAUAUUCUAAAGUAUGCU
Non-coding RNA from Chlorocebus sabaeus (green monkey), 104 nucleotides. The record is from Rfam. NCBI's taxonomy places the organism in Eukaryota, Metazoa, Chordata, Mammalia, Primates, Cercopithecidae.